GCCAGGUGUGGUGGUGCACACCUGUAAUCCCAGCAGCUCAGGAGGCUGAGGCAGGAGGAUAGCAAGUUCAAAGCCAGCCUCAGCAAAAGUGAGGUGCUAAGCAACUCGGUGAAACCCUGUCUCUA
This 125-nucleotide small RNA is filed under the name Marmota monax (woodchuck). The record is from RNAcentral. Lineage: Eukaryota; Metazoa; Chordata; Mammalia; Rodentia; Sciuridae.